Molecule: ribosomal RNA, 253 nt
Filed under: uncultured bacterium
Lineage: Bacteria
Description: partial 16S ribosomal RNA
Rfam family: Bacterial small subunit ribosomal RNA
Source: RNAcentral
UACGUAGGGUGCGAGCGUUAUUCGGAAUUACUGGGCGUAAAGCGUGCGCAGGCGGCUUUGCAAGACAGAGGUGAAAUCCCCGGGCUCAACCUGGGAACUGCCUUUGUGACUGCAAGGCUAGAGUACGGCAGAGGGGGAUGGAAUUCCGCGUGUAGCAGUGAAAUGCGUAGAUAUGCGGAGGAACACCGAUGGCGAAGGCAAUCCCCUGGGCCGGUACUGACGCUCAUGCACGAAAGCGUGGGGAGCAAACAGG